This 253-nucleotide ribosomal RNA is filed under the name uncultured bacterium. RNAcentral describes it as "partial 16S ribosomal RNA". It matches the Rfam family "Bacterial small subunit ribosomal RNA", at positions 524 to 776 of the family's 1533-position model. The record is from RNAcentral.
UACAGAGGUGGCAAGCGUUGUUCGGAAUUACUGGGCGUAAAGGGUGCGUAGGCGGCUUUGCAAGUUGGGUGUGAAAGCCCUCGGCUCAACCGAGGAAUUGCGCUCAAUACUGCCGAGCUCGAGAGAGACAGAGGUAAGCGGAACUAAUGGUGGAGCGGUGAAAUGCGUUGAUAUCAUUAGGAACACCGGUGGCGAAGGCGGCUUACUGGGUCUUUUCUGACGCUGAGGCACGAAAGCCAGGGGAGCGAACGGG